Long non-coding RNA from Oreochromis aureus, 637 nucleotides. RefSeq lists it as uncharacterized. NCBI's taxonomy places the organism in Eukaryota, Metazoa, Chordata, Actinopteri, Cichliformes, Cichlidae. The record is from RefSeq and is a predicted model, not a curated record. The transcript is spliced from 4 exons.
CACUUUCCUCUGCAGAGAGAAAACAGGAAAAGGACCUGAAGAGACGUCUAUGCAAACGCUCUCAUUGUGAAAGAUAAGUAUACAUCCAUCUAAUCUGUGACUCGGUCACAACUCUGAUCAGCAGUUCUUUCAGGUUUGUCUGUUUUGAUGAUGUUAUUAAUUGUUAUUAUCCUUUAUCCAGUUAACUUUCAGAGAGGAGCGGAGGGAGGAGCGAAGCCAGUGUGCUCUGUAAACUCUCAUUAAAAAAAAGAUAAGUAUAUUUGAUUUUCUAUAAUUAUGACAGCUCCUCCUCAGUGAACACUUCCUCUAGUUGCUGAAAUCAUUUAUUAAUUUUUUUCUUCCCAUUUGUCUUUUGUUUUUCAGGGAAAACAGAGAGGAGACAAGGUGACAUUAAGACCUAAGACAGGACGGAUUGAACCUUUUUCCAGAGUAGAUGAGAAGAGUGAACGUCAGCAAGAAUGAACAAAGUGGAAAAAGAGCCAAGCUGAGAAGAAACACCACACAGAAGAUUUUCCCUCAUUAAAAUGGAGAGGAGCAGUAACGACACUGGGAGACAAACAACAGGAUGAUCCAAAGACAACUGAGAGUGUUCAGAGCAGCGUGAACGGCAGUGACCUCAGAGCAAGACAGUCCUCGG